AUGCAAUGUUUGAUUGUCACAGGAAGAUAUAUCAUCUUAAGCAAUUUCAGCCUAAUGUACUGGAAAAUUGCUUAACAGGUUUUUAUAUUCUAUUAGAAACAUUUCCAUAUUGGUAAUAUGUUUCUUUUUUUGAGCAGCAAAUCUUGAGUAACAGCGGAGAAAACCUCACCACAGCCACCACUCAUCUUGUGGACUUGACUUGUAUAUUCAUCUAGAAAAACAAGAAAUUGCUAAAUGCACGCUGGUACCUCUUAGGAUACCCUCCUAGAUAUAGAAUUACUGAGUGAGAACAUUUGCAAAGCCCUUGAUAAAUCUUGUUGAAUCCCAGCACCAGACCUAUUACAUGGUAAGUACUCAGUAAGUACUUCUUGAAUGAACAAGUGCCUUUAGAAAGGUUGGAACAUUGCAGAGUCCCACCAGCAGGAUGCCAGAAGAGCUGUGGCAUGGCCAGUGCACAUGAUUGGAGAAUUGAUUAAAGCAGAAUUUGGGUAUGUGUGAUUCUGGCAAUGAAAUAAUCCAUUUGCAUGAAAAAAUAAGAGUUACAAGUUGAAUCCUC
Long non-coding RNA from Myotis davidii, 556 nucleotides. RefSeq lists it as uncharacterized. Lineage: Eukaryota; Metazoa; Chordata; Mammalia; Chiroptera; Vespertilionidae. The transcript has 2 exons. The record is from RefSeq and is a predicted model, not a curated record.